This is a long non-coding RNA of Apis cerana (Asiatic honeybee), 1192 nucleotides long. RefSeq lists it as uncharacterized. Lineage: Eukaryota; Metazoa; Arthropoda; Insecta; Hymenoptera; Apidae. The record is from RefSeq and is a predicted model, not a curated record.
UAUUGGAUAAAAAUACUGAUAUUAUUGUUUUAUGUAAAAUCACAAUUAAAUAUCGAAGCUAAAGAAUGGAAAAUAAUUUUCUGUAUUAUCGUAACAAUAUUUAUUUUGUAUAUAAAUGAAACGAUAUUUUACGAGAUAAAAAUUUCGAUUUGACAAAGAAUUUUCUGUGUUCGUGUACUUCAACAGAAAUAAUUUUUUUCCCCCGUUGGGACGAAACAAAAGGAUCUUUUAUCAUGUUAAAUUGAGAGAUACGUGUUCCUGAUAUUAUCGAUUCUUUGAUACAUCCUUUAUGUCAAAUCGAACGAUAAAGACCGAUUAGAUAAGCAGAAACUUUAUCGAUUCCACCAUUGUACCCUUGAGUGCAUUUUAACUAACGAAGGUAAAACGCUGCAUUAACGAUGAUGGGAACAGGAUAAAACGUUUUGCUGAUAAUCAACGUGCCAUAUUUGAUAAAUCAAAAGUGAACAGAUUCUCGAUACAUCGUAUAAAGUGCUUUCAUUCCAAAUUACUUCACUUUUGUGUAAAUUUCCAUGAAUUUUAAAAAUUUCAGAAAGUAUUCAAAAAUUUUUAAUCUAUGCAGAAGACUUUAAAAAUUCCUCCACAAGAAUCUAAUAAAUCUAAUAAAAUCUAAUAAAAUCUAAUUCUUUAAUAACAACAAAUCAUAUGAUUACACCAGAAGAAGAACCAGAUGAUGAAAUCAACAUCAAACCAUGACGUUUCCACGUUUCCCUUGCGACGACUUACAAUUAGAACCUUUCACGGAAUGUCAGCAUCGUUUCAAUGUCAUAUCCUUUCAAAAUGAUGACUCACGAUACCAGCGAAUCUUUGUAUAAAGGCCGGUCUGCAGCUCAGGAUUCCACAGUCCUUCGAAUCCGGAUUAAACGGUGGGGUUUGCGCUCUCUCCUUCUCCGUCCUGUGCCGCCAACAAGAAAAACGCUUUAAGAAUCUUCUGCAAAAUCUUUUGUAGGAUAUUUUGGUAUUGAACGGAGGAACGAAGCGAGAAGCACGUAUGUGACUCGAUUAAUCCUUUAACCAGCAGACAAAACGAUAUAAAGAGAUUGUUAAUAUUAUUUUUAAAAUUAUAAUGUAGUUGAGUGUAAUGUAAUCUUGUUCAAUUUUAAUUUUUAUGAAAAUUGAAUAAUGUUAUUGUAAAUUUAUUUAAUAUAAUAAAUAUUGUGAUUAAAAAUAAGAA